AGAUGAGUCUGAUCAAUGGAGAUAUUUCUUGAAAGAGGAAAAACCCCAGUAUCCGUUCCAAUGGUUUGAGGGCAGAGAGGACUGGUUUUGUGAGAGAAUCCUCUAUACUUUUUGCAAAAAUGUUAAUCCACUACAACUUUCAGAGUACCUAAGAGAACAACAAUGUCUCACUCUAACUGAUUUGGAGCAUAUCAAACAAAUGUUCAGAUGGAAAGAAAACGCUUCAGCUGCUACUGAAUUGUUGCUCAGACUACGAAAACGACCUAAUUGGAUACAUUAUCUAAUAAAGGCAUAUAGUCGUCCAGAGCUAGGGCUAA
Molecule: long non-coding RNA, 317 nt
Organism: Magallana angulata
Lineage: Eukaryota; Metazoa; Mollusca; Bivalvia; Ostreida; Ostreidae
Exons: 3
Source: RefSeq, a predicted model, not a curated record